CAAUAGCGUAUAUUAAAGUUGUUGCAGUUAGAACGCUCGUAGUCGGAUUUCGGGGCGGGCCGACCGGUCUGCCGAUGGGUACGCACUGGUCGGCGCGUCCUUCCUUCCGGAGACCGUCCCUACUCUUAACUGAGCGGGGGCGGGAGACGGAACGUUUACUUUGAAAAAAUCAGAGUGUUUCAAGCAGGCAGCUCGCUCUUGCAUGGAUUAGCAUGGGAUAAUGAAAUAGGACUUUGGUGCUAUUUUGUUGGUUUCGAACACCGAAGUAAUGAUGAGAAGGGACAGUCAGGGGCACUCGUAUUCCGCCGAGAGAGGUGAAAUUCUCAGACCAGCGGAAGACGAACCACUGCGAAAGCAUUUGCCAGGGAUGUUUUCACUGA
This 380-nucleotide ribosomal RNA is filed under the name uncultured eukaryote. RNAcentral describes it as "partial 18S ribosomal RNA". It matches the Rfam family "Eukaryotic small subunit ribosomal RNA", at positions 592 to 976 of the family's 1831-position model. The record is from RNAcentral.